UUUAACACCUAAAACCCAUGCUCUUAUGGAGAGGCAUACCUCCUGAAAAGAAGAGAAUAAUAAAUCUGAACAAUAGCCUGUAAGGAGGAAAACAGAUGGUGCAGACAAAACACAGAUACAUACAUACUGUGUCUGCCACCAAUGACAUCACACUGCCUCCUUGAAAAGCUCAGAACACCACAAGAGUUCUUUCCUCUAGCAGUAGACGCUGUGCCAAGGAAUUAUGAGUUAAAGAGUCAGAGAAUGGUUCACCAUACAAAACAUUUUUCUUCCUUUCUUAAAGCCAGCUUAAAGAAUAAAAUAUCUUAAGAUAUUCAGAAGUACUACAACUGACAUUAAUUUUUUCAUAUAUUGGGGAUAAAAGAGUCAAAGAACAUCUCUAAUAAAAAACAGUACAAACGGUAUUUAUAUUUAGUGUUAAAAUAGAAACAAAAGUACAUUUAUAUAUGUCUUGGCAGGGCUUAAAAAUUCUCAUUUUCAGUUGAUCACAAGGUAUUUGGAUACAGGGAGAAUCUCCAAGCAAGCAUUUUUUCCAUGAUAAUCAAGCAUAGAGCAUAGUGUGACAGUAGUCUGUAUCUCCAGAUUUGAUGGCAGGGAGCUACUAAGAAUUUAUCACAUAUAUGUAGAUGCCAUCUCUUUCUCUUUUGGUCUUUUAUUGAUACCUUUCGUGAAGGCCCCUCCUCACCCUGCCACGAUUUCCUAUUUCUUGAGUCUCACCAUUCACAUCAGAAAGGCUGUGCCUUCCCCUUUCAGGGGCCUAAAACCCUUUCUCUCUUUGUAUGAAGGCCUGUCUGGCACAUUCAGUACUAAGCAGACAGCCAAAGUAGGCAUUCAGCAGAGAGUGGGCAGCCAGUGCGUGCUGACAUUCUUGGAAGCUUUUCAAAGGCCCCAAAGAUUUCAUUUCUUGGCGUUAGUAAUGUUUCGCAGCAUGAUGGCAGCCAUCACCACAUGCCUGCUCCUUCCCAGCACACAGAGGAGCCAGGAAACAUCGUAAAUUCACCACAAGCACUCGGAAAACUAAAAGUGAUCUUUCUAGUGCUUCGCUAAAUGUCUGGAUGCACUAGGUGUUAUUGCGAUGAUGAUCAUUUGUGAGAGAAAGAACGGCUGAUUGGAUGGAGCAUGUUUGUGACUUUACAUAAUUGUGGAAUUUGGGCUGUUGUUGUCCUUCCCCUAUUUUCUUCUUUAGAAAUGUGGACUUGAUCUUUCGGCCUCAUACUUUGCAUUCCUUUAUAAAUGACACACGUUAAUCAUCUCCCCACUGUGCUGUAGGCCUUAACCACGGGUCUUUCUCCAUGUGCUGAUUCUCUGCUGUAGAGCGGCCGUGCCAUGUUAAGCGAUCUGCCCUUUGAAUUUGUCACUCUCAUUCCAAAGAAAUAUCAACCAAACAUCACCCCAAAAGCAGAGACUGUCUUUCCAGUUAUGAGGUGGCCAGCUCAGGUGCUAUCUGUGACUCCCAUCAGAGAAGGGGAACGAACCUAUCUUCAGAGAUAUCAGCUCUCAAUCUGCCUUCACUGAUUCAAGGGGAAGACCUCUUGGAAUGUAUUCCUUUGGGUUACACACAAUCUACAUAGACAAUGACAUAAUGACAGCGAACACGGUUCCCAGCACCCCACCUCCCAGAAACAGGAAGAUGUGUCAAUCCCACAAAUGGUUUUCUCUUUGGCCUCUCAAGGGAGCUGGGAGAAACUCGUCUGAAACUCAAACCUGCCUCUGCCAUUAUUUUCCCUUAAACUCGAUCUAAACCUCAGGAGAUCUUCUGGAGUAUUCACUGAAUUCUAAUGAGAACUGAGCCCUCCAAAUAUUAUUCUUACUAUGUUUUGCUAAUAUUUUUCACUGGAAACACAUCAUACCAAGAUGUUUUGGACCGUUUUACUUCCCAGAUUAUUUGGAAGCUAAAGGGAGCAAACGUCCUGCUUCUGGGCUGAUCCAGAUUUUUCAUGAUCUAGCCAGGGGAGGCAAAGAUUCCAGGACAAGCCUUUAGGGAAGGCCAAAGGUUUCUGAAAGUAUCUGUGGACAAAUAAAUGCGAUGUUACUGGGCUACCUCCCA
This is a long non-coding RNA of Pteropus alecto (black flying fox), 2047 nucleotides long. RefSeq lists it as uncharacterized. The record is from RefSeq and is a predicted model, not a curated record. Lineage: Eukaryota; Metazoa; Chordata; Mammalia; Chiroptera; Pteropodidae. The transcript has 4 exons.